Long non-coding RNA from Cucurbita moschata (crookneck pumpkin), 101 nucleotides. RefSeq lists it as uncharacterized. The transcript has 4 exons. NCBI's taxonomy places the organism in Eukaryota, Viridiplantae, Streptophyta, Magnoliopsida, Cucurbitales, Cucurbitaceae. The record is from RefSeq and is a predicted model, not a curated record.
AAACAAAAAAAGUUAAAAAAAGUUGUAUGGCCCAUACAGGUUUCGAACCUGCGACCUUCGCGUUAUUAGCACGACGCUCUGACCAACUGAGCUAAUAGGCC